UGUAGUCUCGCACAGAUGCAUAUCAAUAAGCGGAGGAAAAGAAACUAACAAGGAUUCCCUUAGUAACGGCGAGUGAAGCGGGAAGAGCUCAAAUUUGAAAUCUUCAAGGUUUUACCUUGACGAAUUGUAGUUUAAAGAAGUGUUUUCUGUUGAGGUUUUGGUAAAAGUUCUUUGGAAUAGGACAUCAUAGAGGGUGAGAAUCCCGUAUUUGACCAUUAUUUUCAGCUGUGUGAUACACUUUCAAAGAGUCGGAUUGUUUGGGAAUGCAGUCCAAAAUGGGUGGUAAAUUUCAUCUAAAGCUAAAUAUUGGCGAGAGACCGAUAGCGAACAAGUACCGUGAGGGAAAGAUGAAAAGAACUUUGAAAAGAGAGUUAAACAGUACGUGAAAUUGUCAAAAGGGAAGCGUUUGACACCAGUGUUGUUUUCUCGAAAAUCAAUUAAAAAGAGUUUGAUUUUGUUGUGUAUUGACCUUAACAGCUUGCAUUUCAAUUUUCUUGCUUUUUUUAAUGCACUUUUCGUUUAACAAGUCAACAUCAGUUUCUUUUGUUGUAAAAAGGUCAUUGGAAGGUGGCUUUCUUUUCGGAGAAAGUGUUUAUAGCCUUUGACUCCUGCAAUCGGAGAGACUGAGGUCUGCAGCGUAGAUCCUUCGGGGUUAGAUACAUUUGUGCUAAGUUAUAGCUUUUUAUAGACAACUUGUUGACUAUGAUUAGUCUUGUAGCCUACUCGCUUAUGCUAUUUUACCUACGCUUAGGAUGUUGAGCGCAUGUCUCUCUCU
This 775-nucleotide ribosomal RNA is filed under the name uncultured Neocallimastigales. RNAcentral's name for it is "partial large subunit ribosomal RNA". It matches the Rfam family "Eukaryotic large subunit ribosomal RNA", at positions 24 to 616 of the family's 3401-position model. The record is from RNAcentral. Lineage: Eukaryota; Fungi; Neocallimastigomycota; Neocallimastigomycetes; Neocallimastigales.